Podarcis lilfordi (Lilford's wall lizard) is the source of this 75-nucleotide non-coding RNA. The record is from the annotation of a GenBank genome assembly. NCBI's taxonomy places the organism in Eukaryota, Metazoa, Chordata, Lepidosauria, Squamata, Lacertidae.
CGCAUAGCUCAGUUGGUAAAGCAGGAGAUUCCUAAUCCCAGAAUUGUGGGUUCAAGUUCCACAUUGGGUGAAAGA